AAUAGAUACCCGGGUAGUCCACCCCGUAAACGUUGGGAACUAGUUGUGGGGUCCAUUCCACGGAUUCCGUGACGCAGCUAACGCAUUAAGUUCCCCGCCUGGGGAGUACGGCCGCAAGGCUAAAACUCAAAGGAAUUGACGGGGACCCGCACAAGCGGCGGAGCAUGCGGAUUAAUUCGAUGCAACGCGAAGAACCUUACCAAGGCUUGACAUAUACGAGAACGGGCCAGAAAUGGUCAACUCUUUGGACACUCGUAAACAGGUGGUGCAUGGUUGUCGUCAGCUCGUGUCGUGAGAUGUUGGGUUAAGUCCCGCAACGAGCGCAACCCUCGUUCUAUGUUGCCAGCACGUAAUGGUGGGAACUCAUGGGAUACUGCCGGGGUCAACUCGGAGGAAGGUGGGGUGACGUCAAAUCAUCAUGCCCCUUAUGUCUUGGGCUUCACGCAUGCUACAAUGGCCGGUACAAAGGGCUGCAAUACCGUGAGGUGGAGCGAAUCCCAAAAAGCCGGUCCCAGUUCGGAUUGAGGUCUGCAACUCGACCUCAUG
This 546-nucleotide ribosomal RNA is filed under the name uncultured bacterium. RNAcentral describes it as "bacterial SSU rRNA". It matches the Rfam family "Bacterial small subunit ribosomal RNA", at positions 777 to 1322 of the family's 1533-position model. The record is from RNAcentral.